RNAcentral lists this ribosomal RNA (394 nucleotides) under Staphylococcus aureus. RNAcentral describes it as "bacterial SSU rRNA". It matches the Rfam family "Bacterial small subunit ribosomal RNA", at positions 1033 to 1428 of the family's 1533-position model. The record is from RNAcentral. Lineage: Bacteria; Bacillati; Bacillota; Bacilli; Caryophanales; Staphylococcaceae.
GACAGGUGGUGCAUGGUUGUCGUCAGCUCGUGUCGUGAGAUGUUGGGUUAAGUCCCGCAACGAGCGCAACCCUUAAGCUUAGUUGCCAUCAUUAAGUUGGGCACUCUAAGUUGACUGCCGGUGACAAACCGGAGGAAGGUGGGGAUGACGUCAAAUCAUCAUGCCCCUUAUGAUUUGGGCUACACACGUGCUACAAUGGACAAUACAAAGGGCAGCGAAACCGCGAGGUCAAGCAAAUCCCAUAAAGUUGUUCUCAGUUCGGAUUGUAGUCUGCAACUCGACUACAUGAAGCUGGAAUCGCUAGUAAUCGUAGAUCAGCAUGCUACGGUGAAUACGUUCCCGGGUCUUGUACACACCGCCCGUCACACCACGAGAGUUUGUAACACCCGAAGCC